This 59-nucleotide transfer RNA is filed under the name Rhodobothrium sp. DTJL-2012. RNAcentral describes it as "tRNA-Ser". The record is from RNAcentral. Lineage: Eukaryota; Metazoa; Platyhelminthes; Cestoda; Rhinebothriidea; Rhinebothriidae.
GGAGGAAUCAGCAAAGUUACUGCUAAUAACUUUCUGUCAGUUAAUUCUGACUUCCUCUU